This 1393-nucleotide ribosomal RNA is filed under the name uncultured bacterium. RNAcentral describes it as "16S ribosomal RNA". It matches the Rfam family "Bacterial small subunit ribosomal RNA". The record is from RNAcentral.
UUAGAGUUUGAUCCUGGCUCAGGAUGAACGCUAGCGGCAGGCUUAACACAUGCAAGUCGAGGGGCAGCGCGGGCUUCGGCCUGGCGGCGACCGGCGCAAGGGUGCGUAACACGUGAGCAACAUGCCCGUGACAGUGGGAUAACCGGAGGAAACUCCGACUAAUACCGCAUGAUGAUAUUGGAUCGCAUGGUUUGAUAUCUAAACAUUUAUGGGUCACGGAUUGGCUCGCGGGACAUUAGCUAGACGGCGGGGUAACGGCCCACCGUGGCGACGAUGUCUAGGGGUUCUGAGAGGAAGGUCCCCCACAUUGGAACUGAGACACGGUCCAAACUCCUACGGGAGGCAGCAGUGAGGAAUAUUGGUCAAUGGUCGGAAGACUGAACCAGCCAUGCCGCGUGACGGAAGACGGUCCUAUGGAUUGUAAACGUCUUUUGUACGGGAGGAAUAAGGUCCACGGGUGGGCCGACGACAGUACCGUACGAAUAAGCAUCGGCUAACUCCGUGCCAGCAGCCGCGGUAAUACGGAGGAUGCGAGCGUUAUCCGGAUUCAUUGGGUUUAAAGGGUGCGUAGGCGGGCGCUUAAGUCAGCGGUGAAAUGCAGGGGCCCAACCCCUGACGUGCCGUUGAUACUGGGCACCUUGAAUACGGAUGCUGUGGGAGGAAUGUGUGGUGUAGCGGUGAAAUGCAUAGAUAUCACACAGAACACCGAUUGCGAAGGCAUCUCACAAAUCCGUCAUUGACGCUGAGGCACGAAAGUGCGGGGAUCAAACAGGGUUAGAUACCCUGGUAGUCCGCACAGUAAACGAUGAUAACUCGCUGUCGGCGAUAGACAGUCGGUGGCCAAGCGAAAGCGAUAAGUUAUCCACCUGGGGAGUACGACCGCAAGGUUGAAACUCAAAGGAAUUGACGGGGGCCCGCACAAGCGGAGGAACAUGUGGUUUAAUUCGAUGAUACGCGAGGAACCUUACCCGGGCUCAAACGACAGGGGACGGCAGAUGAAAGUUUGCUUCCAGCAAUGGCCGCUGUCGAGGUGCUGCAUGGUUGUCGUCAGCUCGUGCCGUGAGGUGUCGGCUUAAGUGCCAUAACGAGCGCAACCCCCAUCUUCAGUUGCCAUCGGGCAGUGCCGGGCACUCUGGAGAGACUGCCAGCGCAAGCUGUGAGGAAGGCGGGGAUGACGUCAAAUCAGCACGGCCCUUACGUCCGGGGCGACACACGUGUUACAAUGGCGGAGAACAGAGGGGAGCCAGGUGGCGACACCGAGCCGAUCCCGAAAAUCCGUCUCAGUUCGGAUCGGAGUCUGCAACCCGACUCCGUGAAGCUGGAUUCGCUAGUAAUCGCGCAUCAGCCAUGGCGCGGUGAAUACGUUCCCGGGCCUUGCACUCACCGCCCGUCA